GAUGAACGCUGGCGGCGUGCCUAAUACAUGCAAGUCGAGCGAACGGACGAGAAGCUUGCUUCUCUGAUGUUAGCGGCGGACGGGUGAGUAACACGUGGAUAACCUACCUAUAAGACUGGGAUAACUUCGGGAAACCGGAGCUAAUACCGGAUGAUAUUUUGAACCGCAUGGUUCAAAAGUGAAAGACGGUCUUGCUGUCACUUAUAGAUGGAUCCGCGCUGCAUUAGCUAGUUGGUAAGGUAAUGGCUUACCAAGGCAACGAUGCAUAGCCGACCUGAGAGGGUGAUCAGCCACACUGGAACUGAGACACGGUCCAGACUCCUACGGGAGGCAGCAGUAGGGAAUCUUCCGCAAUGGGCGAAAGCCUGACGGAGCAACGCCGCGUGAGUGAUGAAGGUCUUCGGAUCGUAAAACUCUGUUAUUAGGGAAGAACAUAUGUGUAAGUAACUGUGCACAUCUUGACGGUACCUAAUCAGAAAGCCACGGCUAACUACGUG
RNAcentral lists this ribosomal RNA (497 nucleotides) under uncultured bacterium. RNAcentral describes it as "partial 16S ribosomal RNA". It matches the Rfam family "Bacterial small subunit ribosomal RNA", at positions 28 to 507 of the family's 1533-position model. The record is from RNAcentral.